This is a long non-coding RNA of Amphiprion ocellaris (clown anemonefish), 318 nucleotides long. NCBI's taxonomy places the organism in Eukaryota, Metazoa, Chordata, Actinopteri, Pomacentridae. The record is from Ensembl.
UGGUGACAGACGAUGACCUUCAACCGGAUGAUGCUGGUUCUUGCCCCGACUGGAUAGCAGAGACCAAAGAACUACAGACUCUUCACAACCUGCUCAAACUCUUGGUACAGGACCUCACCACACGGGUCAAGAAGGUUUCCUUCUCAUUUCUACUCUGAAGCUCACCUUCUCCUGCUCAAACUGCUGACAAAUGUUUCUGCUGCUCUAAAGUCUGGUCUCCAGAACUUCCUAAAAACUCUCAAAGUCUCUUCUGCUGCAGGUUGCUUUGUAGAACUGUUGCAGAAAACCUCACUAAACCACAUGGAGGGGCCUCAAGAU